AGUGGCGAACGGGUGAGUAACACGUGAGCAACCUGCCCAGAAGCGGGGGAUAGCCCGGGGAAACUCGGAUUAAUACCGCAUGUGGUCUCCGGCGGCAUCGCCGGAAGAUUAAAGGUGGGGACCCUUCGGGGCCUGCCACUUCUGGAUGGGCUCGCGGCCUAUCAGCUUGUUGGUGAGGUAACGGCUCACCAAGGCUACGACGGGUAGCUGGUCUGAGAGGAUGAUCAGUCACACUGGAACUGAGACACGGUCCAGACACCUACGGGUGGCAGCAGUCGAGAAUCAUUCGCAAUGGGGGAAACCCUGACGGUGCGACGCCGCGUGGAGGAUGACGGCCCUAGGGUUGUAAACUCCUGUCAUCGGGGAGUAAGACUCACGGUUUAAUAGAUCGUGGGGUUGAUAGUACCCGAAGAGGAAGAGACGGCUAACUCUGUGCCAGCAGCCGCGGUAAUACAGAGGUCUCAAGCGU
RNAcentral lists this ribosomal RNA (469 nucleotides) under uncultured bacterium. RNAcentral's name for it is "bacterial SSU rRNA". It matches the Rfam family "Bacterial small subunit ribosomal RNA", at positions 94 to 541 of the family's 1533-position model. The record is from RNAcentral.